This 895-nucleotide ribosomal RNA is filed under the name human gut metagenome. RNAcentral describes it as "bacterial SSU rRNA". It matches the Rfam family "Bacterial small subunit ribosomal RNA", at positions 8 to 901 of the family's 1533-position model. The record is from RNAcentral.
AGAGUUUGAUCCUGGCUCAGGACGAACGCUGGCGGCGUGCCUAACACAUGCAAGUCGAACGAAGCUUGAUUUCUGAUUUUUUCGGAAUGACGAAUGAUAUGACUGAGUGGCGGACGGGUGAGUAACGCGUGAGCAACCUGCCCUUCGGAACGGGAUAGUGUCUGGAAACGGACAGUAAUACCGUAUAACAUAUAUUGAUCGCAUGGUCGAUAUAUCAAAACUGAGGUGCCGAAGGAUGGGCUCGCGUCUGAUUAGAUAGUUGGUGGGGUAACGGCCUACCAAGUCGACGAUCAGUAGCCGGACUGAGAGGUUGAACGGCCACAUUGGGACUGAGACACGGCCCAGACUCCUACGGGAGGCAGCAGUGGGGAAUAUUGCACAAUGGGGGAAACCCUGAUGCAGCAACGCCGCGUGAAGGAAGACGGUUUUCGGAUUGUAAACUUCUGUUCUUAGUGAAGAAUAAUGACGGUAGCUAAGGAGCAAGCCACGGCUAACUACGUGCCAGCAGCCGCGGUAAUACGUAGGUGGCAAGCGUUGUCCGGAAUUACUGGGUGUAAAGGGAGCGUAGGCGGGAUGCCAAGUCAGCUGUGAAAACUAUGGGCUUAACUUGUAGACUGCAGUUGAAACUGGUAUUCUUGAGUGAAGUAGAGGUUGGCGGAAUUCCGAGUGUAGCGGUGAAAUGCGUAGAUAUUCGGAGGAACACCGGUGGCGAAGGCGGCCAACUGGGCUUUAACUGACGCUGAGGCUCGAAAGUGUGGGGAGCAAACAGGAUUAGAUACCCUGGUAGUCCACACUGUAAACGAUGAUAACUAGGUGUGGGGGGUCUGACCCCUUCCGUGCCGCAGCUAACGCAAUAAGUUAUCCACCUGGGGAGUACGACCGCAAGGUUGAAACU